Long non-coding RNA from Notolabrus celidotus (New Zealand spotty), 2042 nucleotides. RefSeq lists it as uncharacterized. The transcript has 3 exons. NCBI's taxonomy places the organism in Eukaryota, Metazoa, Chordata, Actinopteri, Labriformes, Labridae. The record is from RefSeq and is a predicted model, not a curated record.
CACGUUUAACAUCUUCUGUCGGUUGAAUUUAAUCACAAACCUAAAUCUGCCUGUAGCUGUGGGAGUGGCGCAGGUGAUUAAAUGAUUGCCUGUUCUUGAUGGGAAAGACAUUAGCUGCCCUGUUUAGUACACAGACAUGUCACAACAGGUAGCUUUUGUUUUCACUUCGCCUAUAAUUUUCUUAUUAUAAUUGUUUAGAUGCGUGACGUGUUUACAUAGCCUAUGAAAUAAGCCUAUUAACAUGUACAGAAUAUUGCUCAUAACAAAGUAAGCCUCUGACUAUAUAGAAUCUUGAUAGAGGUCGUACAGGUUUAGACUCCAUAAAACCAAACAAACAGCGGCCCUGGAGUGUCACACUUUCAUUAGAGCAGGUCAGUCCCCAAAUUGUCUAUCGACCGAAGAGCAUAAAGACAAAAGCUCGGUUCAUGUCUUUGCAAGCACACCAAGUAUGGACAGAGAGAGUGAGUUCUUACCAUGAUUACAGUAUUUCUGCUGCCUUCCCAGCUGUGUCGGGAACAAAUGAGUCCAAAGCAGCUCGCUGCAGAGCUCUCACAUGAAAGACGCCUUUCAGAGCUCCUCCGCCUCUGUGAGGGUAGAGGAGGCUGACAUGGAGGUGGAAUCUGCCCGGGCCAGGUAGCACACCCCGAGGCAAACAGCCCUGUGACACAGCAGGCAGCUGAGGCGGUUUGUUGUGCAACUACACCAGCUCUCCGCCUCCAUGUUGCUCCCCCUCAGCUCUUCAUUUGUUGAGGCCUCAUUGCAACUCACCAACUGUCAGCCACAAGGCCUGCAGAGACCGCCCAGGGGCAUUUAGGAGACUUGCAACAACCUCACUGCCCCACCCACUGGUUGUAGAUCCUCGCUGCACCCUUGGAAGGGUCAGGGUCUCCAGUCAUAUUGGAAAAGCAAGUUUGAAAGAUAAUGCUGAAGCAUGAGGAGCAAAGCGCAAUUCAUUCCCGCAUGGUUAGUAUUAAAGGCACGUCAUGAAUUGGAUGGACUGGAAUUGAAAUAAUCUAUUUCUCUAUAUUUUACAUUCCAAUGCAAGUUUCCUAUCAGCUGUGUUGUGUUUGGAGUGGCACGGUGGACACAGAUGACUGAUCACCACCCUCUUUCAGAAAAUAAGAACGUGACUCACUGCCGCUCCCUCCUUCACCGCCCACAUCACCACAGCAACCUUCUUCAAUCAUGUGCUUUUAUUUCGCUGGUCUUCCAUUCAGAAACAAGGGAGUAACGAGAAUCAUGUGGUGAAAACAGAGCUUCUCUAACUUUGUUUGAGGGAAGAAAUACUUACCAGGAGAGGAAAUCCUGCAGACACUCAGACAUCCCAAUUAGUCAGAGAGCCUUCUUGGUAAUGAACUUAGAAGCAUAGCAUUACAUAACCUCAGAUAUUCAGACAUUCGCUUUCACUAGUGUCUGCCCACACAAGUCCUCUUUUUCUGAACCCUGCUGCCACUAAUUCAGAACUAAAGGCCCCCCCACUGUGCUCUCCACACUCUCUCUAAGUAAGGUUUAUUAACACAAAGACGGUGGGGUGAGACUAAGCAACACUUCUAAGCGUUACCUGCUGAACUGAGUAAUCUGCUAUAUUGACAUUUUAAUGACUAGUGAUACUUCGACCAUUUCUCUCUGCUCAGUGAUAAAGAAGAAAGAUAUUUCACCUGUGUGGUUUCCUGUACUCAGAAAUACGAAAGGGAGAAAAAGGUGAGGGAUAGUAUUGCAUGGCUUGUUUGAUACCAUGUUAGUUUUACUAUUGAUUCCCAGCUCCACUCUCUAUGCCAGCUGUUAUAUCUUGCAAAUCAGACAACAAAUGAGCUUAGAUCAAAAUAUGAUCAUUCACAAAAUUUGUGAUGGAAUAUUAUCUCCCUUAAUUGAAAAGGUGACCAUAUAGCUAAAGUCCUCCCAGAAAAUGAUUCGAGGAAACUAAUUACAUUUGCACAGCUCAGCCCCAGCUGCCCGCCUUACUGAAAAACAUAAGCUGUGUCUGUGGAGUAAAGAAGAGUGUUUUUUAACAUUAAUUUCCCUGAUGCCUCAGAAAAAAGGAG